GUCUACGGCCAUAUCACCCACCCUGAACACACCCGAUCUCGUCUGAUCUCGGAAGCUAAGCAGGGUCGGGCCUGGUUAGGACUUGGAUGGGAGAAAUGGAACAAGAAAUUGAAACAGUGGUUGUCUAAAACA
RNAcentral lists this ribosomal RNA (132 nucleotides) under Propithecus coquereli (Coquerel's sifaka). Lineage: Eukaryota; Metazoa; Chordata; Mammalia; Primates; Indriidae. The record is from RNAcentral.